CGUUUGGUGGUCGCGCCCUCGGGCGCGUGAAAAGGGAACACGGUGCAAAACCGUGACAGUCGCCGCUACUGUGAGAAGGACGAACCCCGAAGGCUCAUCGCCGUCACUGGCAAUCGCUGGGAAGACGCUCGGGAAGUAGGAAGACUUCAAGUCAGGAGACCUGCCAUCAUUC
RNAcentral lists this non-coding RNA (172 nucleotides) under human gut metagenome. The record is from RNAcentral.